GAUAAACGCUGGCGGCGUGCAUGAGACAUGCAAGUCGAACGAAGGAUCGGGCUUGCUCGAUCCUUAGUGGCGGACGGCUGAGUAACGCGUAGGUGACCUACCCCGAAGUGGGGAAUAACUGCCCGAAAGGGCGGCUAAUACCGCAUGUGGUCGCACGUUCAUUCGUGCGAGUAAAGCCGCAAGGCGCUUCGGGAGGGGCCUGCGUCCGAUUAGCUCGUUGGUGGGGUAAUGGCUUACCAAGGCGACGAUCGGUAGGUGGUCUGAGAGGACGAUCACCCAGACUGGGACUGAGACACGGCCCAGACUCCUACGGGAGGCAGCAGUCGGGAAUUUUGCUCAAUGGGGGAAACCCUGAAGCAGCAACGCCGCGUGAGGGAUGAAGGCCUUCGGGUUGUAAACCUCUUUUGUCGGGGACGAUGAUGACGGUACCUGGCGAAUAAGCCACGGCUAACUACGUG
Molecule: ribosomal RNA, 458 nt
Filed under: uncultured bacterium
Lineage: Bacteria
Description: partial 16S ribosomal RNA
Rfam family: Bacterial small subunit ribosomal RNA
Source: RNAcentral